This 642-nucleotide ribosomal RNA is filed under the name Shigella sp. RNAcentral's name for it is "bacterial SSU rRNA". It matches the Rfam family "Bacterial small subunit ribosomal RNA", at positions 98 to 739 of the family's 1533-position model. Lineage: Bacteria; Pseudomonadati; Pseudomonadota; Gammaproteobacteria; Enterobacterales; Enterobacteriaceae. The record is from RNAcentral.
GCGGACGGGUGAGUAAUGUCUGGGAAACUGCCUGAUGGAGGGGGAUAACUACUGGAAACGGUAGCUAAUACCGCAUAACGUCGCAAGACCAAAGAGGGGGACCUUCGGGCCUCUUGCCAUCGGAUGUGCCCAGAUGGGAUUAGCUUGUGGUGGGGUAACGGCUCACCAGGCGACGAUCCCUAGCUGGUCUGAGAGGAUGACCAGCCACACUGGAACUGAGACACGGUCCAGACUCCUACGGGAGGCAGCAGUGGGGAAUAUUGCACAAUGGGCGCAAGCCUGAUGCAGCCAUGCCGCGUGUAUGAAGAAGGCCUUCGGGUUGUAAAGUACUUUCAGCGGGGAGGAAGGGAGUAAAGUUAAUACCUUUGCUCAUUGACGUUACCCGCAGAAGAAGCACCGGCUAACUCCGUGCCAGCAGCCGCGGUAAUACGGAGGGUGCAAGCGUUAAUCGGAAUUACUGGGCGUAAAGCGCACGCAGGCGGUUUGUUAAGUCAGAUGUGAAAUCCCCGGGCUCAACCUGGGAACUGCAUCUGAUACUGGCAAGCUUGAGUCUCGUAGAGGGGGGUAGAAUUCCAGGUGUAGCGGUGAAAUGCGUAGAGAUCUGGAGGAAUACCGGUGGCGAAGGCGGCCCCCUGACGAAGA